Molecule: long non-coding RNA, 1159 nt
Organism: Peromyscus californicus insignis
Lineage: Eukaryota; Metazoa; Chordata; Mammalia; Rodentia; Cricetidae
Exons: 3
Source: RefSeq, a predicted model, not a curated record
UUUACUUGUUUUGGGGGGGGGGAGUUGUUUGUUUGUUUUGUGUGUUUGUGGUGGUUUGAAAGAAAAUGGCUCUCAAAGGUAGUGGCACUUUUAGGAGAUGUGGCCUUGUUGGAGUAGGUGUGCCUUUCUUGGAGGAAGUGUGUAACUAUGGGGGCGGGCUUUGAGGUCUUUUCUCAAGCUUCACUCGGUGUGACAGUCAACUUCCUGUUGCCUCUGAGUCAAGAUGUAGGACUCUCAUCUCCAGCACCACAUCUGCCUGCAUGUUGCCAGGCUCCCCACCGUGAUAAUGGACUGAACCUCAGAAACUUGUACAAUUGAAGAAACUGGGGCUCAGAGAAUAAGCCACUUACUGGGGACUCCCAGCCACCAAUCAGAACUGUGGUUUGACCCUCCCACCCUGUCUACCUUCAAAGCUACACUGUCCAGAACAGUAGCCACAUCGACAUUCUAAGCAUCUGAAAGGUGAUGGACUGCCACGAAGAUUUCCUGAUCUUAUUUCAAAUCUCUAUUCUCACUCAAAUUCCUGCCUUGGUACCGGCCUCUGGAACAAUACACUCUAGCACCGUCAUGGGCAACAAGUAAGGAGCGGAGGAAGCACUCUAAAGGGGACUGAGGAGGCUCGGCUAUAGCUGCAAUCAAGCUCAUGGACUGCAACCAAGCUUGGAAAAACACAUUUUGAAUUCCACUAUUGUGAUAAUUAGCAAAGUAUGAAUACAGAUCUCAGAGAAGACAACACCAUUUUAUCAGUCUUACAGUUCCAGAAUUCUACAAUUACAUUGUGUCAACAUAAGAUCAUGUCCUCAGUCUUAGGAGCCAAGUGCUGAAGUAGUGGAGGUGAAGGGUCAGUUCAUUAUAAAUCAUUUAAUAAAAACCAGAAGAAGAUGAAGAUUUACUUUUGUUUUUAUUUUAUAUGAAUGAGCGUUUCGCCCAUAUGUAUGUAUGUGUAUCACUUGCACACAGAGUACACACAAAUGCCAGAAGAGGGCAUUAGAUUCCUUGAACCUGGAGUUACUGACAGUUGUGAGCUACCAUGUUGGUGCUGGAAAUUGAAACUUGGUCUUCUGGAAGAGCAGUCAGUGCUGUUAACCAACGCAUGUAGCAAAAUCACAAUAUCAGAAGACUUGGAACAUGCACAAAAGACACCACUUUUCAAUUUUUC